UACGUAGGGGGCAAGCGUUAUCCGGAGUUACUGGGCGUAAAGGGCGUGUAGGUGGUAGAGUAAGUCUGGCGUGAAAUUUUUCGGCUUAACCGGGAAAGGUCGUCGGAUACUGCUUAACUAGAGGACGGUAGAGGCGUGUGGAAUUCCGGGUGUAGUGGUGAAAUGCGUAGAGAUCCGGAGGAACACCAGUGGCGAAGGCGACACGCUGGGCCGUACCUGACACUGAUGCGCGACAGCAUGGGGAGCAAACAGG
Molecule: ribosomal RNA, 253 nt
Filed under: uncultured bacterium
Lineage: Bacteria
Description: partial 16S ribosomal RNA
Rfam family: Bacterial small subunit ribosomal RNA
Source: RNAcentral